Molecule: long non-coding RNA, 611 nt
Filed under: Monodelphis domestica (gray short-tailed opossum)
Lineage: Eukaryota; Metazoa; Chordata; Mammalia; Didelphimorphia; Didelphidae
Description: lncRNA (ENSMODG00000043134.1)
Source: RNAcentral
CCCGGAAGGACUCAGGUGGAUGCGGAAGGGAGGGAGUGGAAGGGGAAGAAAGAGGAGGUGAGUCUUUACGGGGAGAGGAAGGAGGAGAGAUAACAAGAGAGGGGAUUAAAGGAGGAGGGGUAACAAGAGAAGGAAUUAAGGAAAGAAAGAGGUCAGUGAUAAGGAGAGGAGAAAGGGAGAAGGAAAGGGGGAAGAACCAGUCAGUGGAGAGGUAAUUGGGGGUGGAACCAGAAGAGAGGGAGGCGGGCCAUGGAGGAGGGCCUUUAGAGGCUAGGCAGUAGGAAGGGGGCAAGGAGGGCUGACAGAGGGGACCCCUUGGUGGGAAAUGACUCCCACACCUUGGACCCUGGAGAAUAGAUCGAAGUGGCAAGAGCCCAGGGGCACGACUGCGGUCCAGUGAAAGAGGACACACCCUUACUUUCUAAUAUGAUUGGUUUUUAGGACAUAUAGCUUUUAUCUACAUGGAAAGGAAAUGUGAGAAAAGAAAGAAAGAAGGGACUAAGGAUCCAUAUAGCACCUACUUUGUACCAGAAUUGGUGACUCUUAGUAUCAAAGCAUUCACAUUGUAUAUGUUGCCCCAGGAUUUGUUGAAAUUUUUUAUCAGUUUGUGG